CUCAGGAUGAACGCUAGCUACAGGCUUAACACAUGCAAGUCGAGGGGCAGCAUGGUCUUAGCUUGCUAAGGCCGAUGGCGACCGGCGCACGGGUGAGUAACACGUAUCCAACCUGCCGUCUACUCUUGGACAGCCUUCUGAAAGGAAGAUUAAUACAAGAUGGCAUCAUGAGUCCGCAUGUUCACAUGAUUAAAGGUAUUCCGGUAGACGAUGGGGAUGCGUUCCAUUAGAUAGUAGGCGGGGUAACGGCCCACCUAGUCUUCGAUGGAUAGGGGUUCUGAGAGGAAGGUCCCCCACAUUGGAACUGAGACACGGUCCAAACUCCUACGGGAGGCAGCAGUGAGGAAUAUUGGUCAAUGGGCGAGAGCCUGAACCAGCCAAGUAGCGUGAAGGAUGACUGCCCUAUGGGUUGUAAACUUCUUUUAUAAAGGAAUAAAGUCGGGUAUGGAUACCCGUUUGCAUGUACUUUAUGAAUAAGGAUCGGCUAACUCCGUGCCAGCAGCCGCGGUAAUACGGAGGAUCCGAGCGUUAUCCGGAUUUAUUGGGUUUAAAGGGAGCGUAGAUGGAUGUUUAAGUCAGUUGUGAAAGUUUGCGGCUCAACCGUAAAAUUGCAGUUGAUACUGGAUAUCUUGAGUGCAGUUGAGGCAGGCGGAAUUCGUGGUGUAGCGGUGAAAUGCUUAGAUAUCACGAAGAACUCCGAUUGCGAAGGCAGCCUGCUAAGCUGCAACUGACAUUGAGGCUCGAAAGUGUGGGUAUCAAACAGGAUUAGAUACCCUGGUAGUCCACACGGUAAACGAUGAAUACUCGCUGUUUGCGAUAUACUGCAAGCGGCCAAGCGAAAGCGUUAAGUAUUCCACCUGGGGAGUACGCCGGCAACGGUGAAACUCAAAGGAAUUGACGGGGGCCCGCACAAGCGGAGGAACAUGUGGUUUAAUUCGAUGAUACGCGAGGAACCUUACCCGGGCUUAAAUUGCAGAUGAAUUACGGUGAAAGCCGUAAGCCGCAAGGCAUCUGUGAAGGUGCUGCAUGGUUGUCGUCAGCUCGUGCCGUGAGGUGUCGGCUUAAGUGCCAUAACGAGCGCAACCCUUGUUGUCAGUUACUAACAGGUUCCGCUGAGGACUCUGACAAGACUGCCAUCGUAAGAUGUGAGGAAGGUGGGGAUGACGUCAAAUCAGCACGGCCCUUACGUCCGGGGCUACACACGUGUUACAAUGGGGGGUACAGAGGGCCGCUACCACGCGAGUGGAUGCCAAUCCCCAAAACCUCUCUCAGUUCGGACUGGAGUCUGCAACCCGACUCCACGAAGCUGGAUUCGCUAGUAAUCGCGCAUCAGCCACGGCGCGGUGAAUACGUUCCCGGGCCUUGUACACACCGCCCGUCAAGCCAUGGGAGCCGGGGGUACCUGAAGUGCGUAACCGCGAGGAGCGCCCUAGGGUA
This 1437-nucleotide ribosomal RNA is filed under the name uncultured organism. Its description in RNAcentral is "16S ribosomal RNA". It matches the Rfam family "Bacterial small subunit ribosomal RNA". The record is from RNAcentral.